UAUUUAUUUACCAGGUUCUGUCCUGGACAGACAGACAUGUUAUUUACCAGGUUCUGUCCUGGACAGACAGACAUGUUAUUUACCAGGUUCUGUCCUGGACAGACAGACAUGUUAUUUACCAGGUUCUGUCCUGGACAGACAGACAUGUUAUUUACCAGGUUCUGUCCUGGACAGACAGACAUGUUAUUUACCAGGUUCUGUCCUGGACAGACAGACAUGUUAUUUACCAGGUUCUGUCCUGGACAGACAGACAUGUUAUUUACCAGGUUCUGUCCUGGACAGACAGACAUGUUAUUUACCAGGUUCUGUCCUGGACAGACAGACAUGUUAUUUACCAGGUUCUGUCCUGGACAGACAGACAUGUUAUUUACCAGGUUCUGUCCUGGACAGACAGACAUGUUAUUUACCAGGUUCUGUCCUGGACAGACAGACAUGUUAUUUACCAGGUUCUGUCCUGGACAGACAGACAUGUUAUUUACCAGGUUCUGUCCUGGACAGACAUGUUAUUUACCAGGUUCUGUCCUGGACAGACAUGUUAUUUACCAGGUUCUGUCCUGGACAGACAUGUUAUUUACCAGGUUCUGUCCUGGACAGACAUGUUAUUUACCAGGUUCUGUCCUGGACAGACAUGUUAUUUACCAGGUUCUGUCCUGGACAGACAUGUUAUUUACCAGGUUCUGUCCUGGACAGACAGACAGACAUGUUAUUUACCAGGUUCUGUCCUGGACAGACAGACAGACAUGUUAUUUACCAGGUUCUGUCCUGGACAGACAGACAGACAUGUUAUUUACCAGGUUCUGUCCUGGACAGACAGACAGACAUGUUAUUUACCAGGUUCUGUCCUGGACAGACAGACAUGUUAUUUACCAGGUUCUGUCCUGGACAGACAGACAUGUUAUUUA
Long non-coding RNA from Oncorhynchus keta (chum salmon), 902 nucleotides. RefSeq lists it as uncharacterized. The record is from RefSeq and is a predicted model, not a curated record. The transcript has 3 exons. Lineage: Eukaryota; Metazoa; Chordata; Actinopteri; Salmoniformes; Salmonidae.